CCUACGGGAGGCAGCAGUGAGGAAUAUUGGUCAAUGGGCUUACGCCUGAACCAGCCAAGUCGCGUGAGGGAAGACUGCCCUAUGGGUUGUAAACCUCUUUUGUCAGGGAGCAAUUGGCGCUACGUGUAGCGUUAUCGAGAGUACCUGAAGAAAAAGCAUCGGCUAACUCCGUGCCAGCAGCCGCGGUAAUACGGAGGAUGCGAGCGUUAUCCGGAUUUAUUGGGUUUAAGGGGUGCGUAGGCGGAAUGCCAAGUCAGCGGGAAAAUCGCGGGGCUCAACCUCGCUCCGCCGUUGAAACUGGCGUUCUUGAGUGGGCGAGAAGUAUGCGGAAUGCGUGGUGUAGCGGUGAAAUGCAUAGAUAUCACGCAGAACUCCGAUUGCGAAGGCAGCAUACCGGCGCCCAACUGACGCUGAAGCACGAAAGCGUGGGUAUCGAACAGGAUUAGAUACCCGGGUAGUC
This 460-nucleotide ribosomal RNA is filed under the name uncultured bacterium. Its description in RNAcentral is "partial 16S ribosomal RNA". It matches the Rfam family "Bacterial small subunit ribosomal RNA", at positions 338 to 795 of the family's 1533-position model. The record is from RNAcentral.